UUUCUAUCUUCCCCUCCCUCUUCAUCUUCAUCCCUAUUCUUCCCCAUUCCCCCAUUUGACCAAUGAAAUCUCUACUGUCUAAAGGCUAAUUGGUUCAUCAAUGACCUUGUGUCAGAUGAAUCAAUACAGGUGUGACUGAGAUAGGUCGUUCCCAUUUUCUUUUAGUGUGUUGUAUGUUUUAGGAAUUUGGUUCUUCAUACCAAAUCUCUAACAUACAUUAACCCCUAAAUUUUUAUUG
RNAcentral lists this long non-coding RNA (238 nucleotides) under Lathyrus oleraceus (garden pea). Its description in RNAcentral is "Pisum sativum (pea) long non-coding RNA (PSAT_LNC015839)". The record is from RNAcentral. Lineage: Eukaryota; Viridiplantae; Streptophyta; Magnoliopsida; Fabales; Fabaceae.